RNAcentral lists this ribosomal RNA (279 nucleotides) under uncultured bacterium. RNAcentral describes it as "partial 16S ribosomal RNA". It matches the Rfam family "Bacterial small subunit ribosomal RNA", at positions 506 to 784 of the family's 1533-position model. The record is from RNAcentral.
UGCCAGCCGCCGCGGUAAUACGAAGGGGGCUAGCGUUGUUCGGAAUUACUGGGCGUAAAGCGCACGUAGGCGGGUCGUUAAGUUAGAGGUGAAAUCCCGGAGCUCAACUCCGGAACUGCCUUUGAUACUGGCGAUCUUGAGUUCGAGAGAGGUGAGUGGAAUUCCGAGUGUAGAGGUGAAAUUCGUAGAUAUUCGGAGGAACACCAGUGGCGAAGGCGGCUCACUGGCUCGAUACUGACGCUGAGGUGCGAAAGCGUGGGGAGCAAACAGGAUUAGAUA